GACGAACGCUGGCGGCGCGCCUAACACAUGCAAGUCGGACGAGAGAGAGGAAGCUUGCUUCCUUAAUCGAGUGGCGAACGGGUGAGUAACGCGUGAGGAACCUGCCUCAAAGAGGGGGACAACAGUUGGAAACGACUGCUAAUACCGCAUAAGCCCACGACCCGGCAUCGGGUUGAGGGAAAAGGAGCAAUCCGCUUUGAGAUGGCCUCGCGUCCGAUUAGCUGGUUGGUGAGGUAACGGCCCACCAAGGCGACGAUCGGUAGCCGGACUGAGAGGUUGAACGGCCACAUUGGGACUGAGACACGGCCCAGACUCCUACGGGAGGCAGCAGUGGGGAAUAUUGCACAAUGGGGGAAACCCUGAUGCAGCGACGCCGCGUGGAGGAAGAAGGUCUUCGGAUUGUAAACUCCUGUUGUUGAGGAAGAUAAUGACGGUACUCAACAAGGAAGUGACGGCUAACUACGUGCCAGCAGCCGCGGUAAAACGUAGGUCACAAGCGUUGUCCGGAAUUACUGGGUGUAAAGGGAGCGCAGGCGGGAAGACAAGUUGGAAGUGAAAUCUAUGGGCUCAACCCAUAAACUGCUUUCAAAACUGUUUUUCUUGAGUAGUGCAGAGGUAGGCGGAAUUCCCGGUGUAGCGGUGGAAUGCGUAGAUAUCGGGAGGAACACCAGUGGCGAAGGCGGCCUACUGGGCACCAACUGACGCUGAGGCUCGAAAGUGUGGGUAGCAAACAGG
Molecule: ribosomal RNA, 735 nt
Filed under: uncultured bacterium
Lineage: Bacteria
Description: bacterial SSU rRNA
Rfam family: Bacterial small subunit ribosomal RNA
Source: RNAcentral